CAGCAGCCGCGGUAAUACGGAGGGUGCAAGCGUUGUUCGGAAUUAUUGGGCGUAAAGGGCGUGUAGGCGGCCGGAUAAGUCGGAUGUGAAAUCCCUCAGCUCAACUGAGGAAUUGCAUUCGAUACUGCCUGGCUAGAGUCCGGGAUGGGGUAGCGGAAUUCCCAGUGUAGCGGUGAAAUGCUUAGAUAUGACAUAGAACACCAAUUGCGAAGGCAGCUUGCUACACGGUCAUUGACACUGAGGCACGAAAGCGUGGGGAGCAAACAGGAUUAGAUACCCUGGUAGUCCACGCCCUAAACUAUGGAUACUCGACAUCAGCGAUACACAGUUGGUGUCUGAGCGAAAGCAUUAAGUAUCCCACCUGGGAAGUACGAUCGCAAGAUUGAAACUCAAAGGAAUUGACGG
Molecule: ribosomal RNA, 405 nt
Filed under: uncultured bacterium
Lineage: Bacteria
Description: bacterial SSU rRNA
Rfam family: Bacterial small subunit ribosomal RNA
Source: RNAcentral